Molecule: ribosomal RNA, 596 nt
Filed under: Lacticaseibacillus paracasei
Lineage: Bacteria; Bacillati; Bacillota; Bacilli; Lactobacillales; Lactobacillaceae
Description: bacterial SSU rRNA
Rfam family: Bacterial small subunit ribosomal RNA
Source: RNAcentral
GGAGCAACGCUGCGUGAGUGAAGAAGGCUUUCGGGUCGUAAAACUCUGUUGUUGGAGAAGAAUGGUCGGCAGAGUAACUGUUGUCGGCGUGACGGUAUCCAACCAGAAAGCCACGGCUAACUACGUGCCAGCGGCCGCGGUAAUACGUAGGUGGCAAGCGUUAUCCGGAUUUAUUGGGCGUAAAGCGAGCGCAGGCGGUUUUUUAAGUCUGAUGUGAAAGCCCUCGGCUUAACCGAGGAAGCGCAUCGGAAACUGGGAAACUUGAGUGCAGAAGAGGACAGUGGAACUCCAUGUGUAGCGGUGAAAUGCGUAGAUAUAUGGAAGAACACCAGUGGCGAAGGCGGCUGUCUGGUCUGUAACUGACGCUGAGGCUCGAAAGCAUGGGUAGCGAACAGGAUUAGAUACCCUGGUAGUCCAUGCCGUAAACGAUGAAUGCUAGGUGUUGGAGGGUGUCCGCCCUUCAGUGCCGCAGCUAACGCAUUAAGCAUUCCGCCUGGGGAGUACGACCGCACGGUUGAAACUCAAAGGAAUUGACGGGGGCCCGCACAAGCGGUGGAGCAUGUGGUUUAAUUCGAAGCAACGCGAAGAACCUUACC